CCGAGUUCUCGCAACUCCCAAACCCCCUGUGAACCUAUACCUGAACGUUGCUUCGGCGGGUUGAAACGCCCCGGACCGCGCCCGACCUCUCCCGCUCCGGCGGGCGUUGGCGGGCAAGGCCGGACCCAGGCGCCCGCCGGAGGACCCAAACUCUUGCUUCCGAACAGUGGGAUCACGCACUCUGAGUACAGCGAGAAUGAAUCA
RNAcentral lists this unclassified non-coding RNA (204 nucleotides) under uncultured fungus. RNAcentral describes it as "sequence contains ITS1, 5.8S rRNA gene". The record is from RNAcentral. Lineage: Eukaryota; Fungi.